UACAGAGGUGGCAAGCGUUGUUCGGAAUUACUGGGCGUAAAGGGCGCGUAGGCGGUCGCCUAAGUCGGACGUGAAAUCCCCAAGCUUAACUUGGGAACUGCGUCCGAUACUGGGUGACUUGAGUUCGGGAGAGGAAUGUGGAAUUCCAGGUGUAGCGGUGAAAUGCGUAGAUAUCUGGAGGAACACCGGUGGCGAAGGCGGCAUUCUGGACCGACAUUGACGCUGAACGGCGAAAGCUAGGGGAGCAAACGGGA
This 254-nucleotide ribosomal RNA is filed under the name uncultured prokaryote. RNAcentral's name for it is "partial 16S ribosomal RNA". It matches the Rfam family "Bacterial small subunit ribosomal RNA", at positions 524 to 777 of the family's 1533-position model. The record is from RNAcentral.